Molecule: ribosomal RNA, 504 nt
Filed under: uncultured bacterium
Lineage: Bacteria
Description: partial 16S ribosomal RNA
Rfam family: Bacterial small subunit ribosomal RNA
Source: RNAcentral
AUUGAACGCUGGCGGCAGGCCUAACACAUGCAAGUCGAACGGUAGCACAGAGAGCUUGCUCUCGGGUGACGAGUGGCGGACGGGUGAGUAACGUCUGGGAAACUGCCCGAUGGAGGGGGUUAACUACUGGAAACGGUAGCUAAUACCGCAUAACGUCGCAAGACCAAAGUGGGGGACCUUCGGGCCUCACACCAUCGGAUGUGCCCAGAUGGGAUUAGCUAGUAGGUGGGGUAAUGGCUCACCUAGGCGACGAUCCCUAGCUGGUCUGAGAGGAUGACCAGCCACACUGGAACUGAGACACGGUCCAGACUCCUACGGGAGGCAGCAGUGGGGAAUAUUGCACAAUGGGCGCAAGCCUGAUGCAGCCAUGCCGCGUGUAUGAAGAAGGCCUUCGGGUUGUAAAGUACUUUCAGCGGGGAGGAAGGCGGUGAAGUUAAUAGCUUCACCGAUUGACGUUACCCGCAGAAGAAGCACCGGCUAACUCCGUGCCAGCCGCCGCAGUAA